This 443-nucleotide ribosomal RNA is filed under the name uncultured bacterium. RNAcentral describes it as "partial 16S ribosomal RNA". It matches the Rfam family "Bacterial small subunit ribosomal RNA", at positions 338 to 795 of the family's 1533-position model. The record is from RNAcentral.
CCUACGGGAGGCUGCAGUGGGGAAUAUUGGGCAAUGGGCGCAAGCCUGACCCAGCAACGCCGCGUGAAGGAAGAAUGCCCUCGGGUUGUAAACUUCUUUUAUUCGGGACGAAACAAAUGACGGUACCGAAUGAAUAAGCCACGGCUAACUACGUGCCAGAAGCCGCGGUAAUACGUAGGUGGCAAGCGUUAUACGGAUUUACUGGGUGUAAAGGGCGUGUAGGCGGGAGAGCAAGUCAGACGUGAAAUUCCAGGGCUCAACCGUGGAACUGGGUUUGAAGCUGUUCUUCUUGAGUGAUGGGGAGGCAGGCGGAAUUCGGUGUGUAGCGGUGAAAUGCGUAGAUAGACGGAGGAACACCAGUGGCGAAGGCGGCCUGCUGGACAGUAACUGACGCUGAGGCGCGAAAGCGUGGGGAGCAAACAGGAUUAGAUACCCGAGUAGUC